Molecule: ribosomal RNA, 252 nt
Filed under: uncultured bacterium
Lineage: Bacteria
Description: partial 16S ribosomal RNA
Rfam family: Bacterial small subunit ribosomal RNA
Source: RNAcentral
UACGUAGGGUGCAAGCGUUAUCCGGAAUUAUUGGGCGUAAAGAGCUCGUAGGCGGUUUGUCGCGUCUGCUGUGAAAACCCGAGGCUCAACCUCGGGCCUGCAGUGGGUACGGGCAAACUAGAGUGCGGUAGGGGAGAUUGGAAUUCCUGGUGUAGCGGUGAAAUGCGUAGAGAUCGGGAGGAACACCAGCGGCGAAGGCGGCGACCUGGACAGUUACUGACACUCAACUGCGAAAGCGUGGGAGCAAACAGG